ACGGAAGGCAGCAGUGGGGAAUAUUGGGCAAUGGGCGAAAGCCUGACCCAGCAACGCCGCGUGAAGGAAGAAGGUCUUCGGAUUGUAAACUUCUUUUAUGUAGGACGAAGAAAGUGACGGUACUACAUGAAUAAGCCACGGCUAACUACGUGCCAGCAGCCGCGGUAAUACGUAGGUGGCAGGCGUUAUCCGGAUUUACUGGGUGUAAAGGGCGCGUAGGCGGGGAUGCAAGUCAGAUGUGAAAUCUAUGGGCUCAACCCAUGAACUGCAUUUGAAACUGUAUCUCUUGAGUGCUGGAGAGGUAGAUGGAAUUCCUAGUGUAGCGGUGAAAUGCGUAGAUAUUAGGAAGAACACCAGUGGCGAAGGCGAUCUACUGGACAGUAACUGACGCUGAGGCGCGAAAGCGUGGGGAGCAAACAGGAUUAGAUACCUUGGUA
This 437-nucleotide ribosomal RNA is filed under the name uncultured Oscillospiraceae bacterium. RNAcentral describes it as "bacterial SSU rRNA". It matches the Rfam family "Bacterial small subunit ribosomal RNA", at positions 341 to 792 of the family's 1533-position model. Lineage: Bacteria; Bacillati; Bacillota; Clostridia; Eubacteriales; Oscillospiraceae. The record is from RNAcentral.